This 26-nucleotide non-coding RNA is filed under the name Rattus norvegicus (Norway rat). Lineage: Eukaryota; Metazoa; Chordata; Mammalia; Rodentia; Muridae. The record is from RNAcentral.
UUGUGCUCAUCCUGUCGGUUCCCUUC